Molecule: long non-coding RNA, 380 nt
Organism: Perognathus longimembris pacificus (Pacific pocket mouse)
Lineage: Eukaryota; Metazoa; Chordata; Mammalia; Rodentia; Heteromyidae
Exons: 3
Source: RefSeq, a predicted model, not a curated record
GGCAGGAAGAGGCAGCAGGCUGUUCAGAAAACCAGCCUUCAGGCUAUCCAGAAAACCAGCCUUCCAACAAAAGGGCCCAAUUUCUCCCCCCAGGUAAAAUGGCGCAAGGCCAGGAGCCUACACUAGGUAAAAGCACUCAGGACUUUUGCCUCUUAGAAAUGGCAGCACUUCCUCCUUGCUAGGGGCACUGAUGUGAUUGCUAAAUGCCACGUUCCUCCUGGACCAAGCAGGCACAAAAGGCUGAUGUCUGAAGAAGAGGGGAAUUUUUUCUUGGCUGAGCAGAAUGACUGGUCACUGUGUCUUCUCCUCGGCCCUCCCUGGAGAGAGAAAAUCUAUGGUGCCAUAAAGAAUGAGGUAUUCUGGCACCCAACACAAAGAGA